UAGCGCCUCGUGAAUUCAUCUCCGGGGGUAGAGCACUGUUUCGGCUAGGGGGCCAUCCCGGCUUACCAACCCGAUGCAAACUGCGAAUACCGGAGAAUGUUAUCACGGGAGACACACGGCGGGUGCUAACGUCCGUCGUGAAGAGGGAAACAACCCAGACCGCCAGCUAAGGUCCCAAAGUCAUGGUUAAGUGGGAAACGAUGUGGGAAGGCCCAGACAGCCAGGAUGUUGGCUUAGAAGCAGCCAUCAUUUAAAGAAAGCGUAAUAGCUCACUGGUCGAGUCGGCCUGCGCGGAAGAUGUAACGGGGCUAAACCAUGCACCGAAGCUGCGGCAGCGAACGUAUCACCCAAGACAACUUUACGGAGUUGACGAUUGACGGAGCGAAGCGACGUCAAAGCGUUCAUUAAAGUCGAGUUGGCUUAGGGAUACGUUCGUUGGGUAGGGGAGCGUUCUGUAAGCCUGUGAAGGUGUGUCGUGAGGCAUGCUGGAGGUAUCAGAAGUGCGAAUGCUGACAUAAGUAACGAUAAAGCGGGUGAAAAGCCCGCUCGCCGGAAGACCAAGGGUUCCUGUCCAACGUUAAUCGGGGCAGGGUGAGUCGACCCCUAAGGCGAGGCCGAAAGGCGUAGUCGAUGGGAAACGGGUUAAUAUUCCCGUACUUGGUGUUACUGCGAAGGGGGGACGGAGAAGGCUAUGUUGGCCGGGCGACGGUUGUCCCGGUUUAAGCGUGUAGGUGUGUGUUCCAGGUAAAUCCGGUUCACUUUAACACUGAGGCGUGACGACGAGGCACUACGGUGCUGAAGCAACAAAUGCCCUGCUUCCAGGAAAAGCCUCUAAGCAUCAGGUAACACGAAAUCGUACCCCAAACCGACACAGGUGGUCAGGUAGAGAAUACCAAGGCGCUUGAGAGAACUCGGGUGAAGGAACUAGGCAAAAUGGUGCCGUAACUUCGGGAGAAGGCACGCUGACACGUAGGUGAAGUGAUUUACUCAUGGAGCUGAAGUCAGUCGAAGAUACCAGCUGGCUGCAACUGUUUAUUAAAAACACAGCACUGUGCAAACACGAAAGUGGACGUAUACGGUGUGACGCCUGCCCGGUGCCGGAA
This 1103-nucleotide ribosomal RNA is filed under the name Salmonella enterica subsp. enterica serovar Typhimurium. RNAcentral's name for it is "partial 23S ribosomal RNA". It matches the Rfam family "Bacterial large subunit ribosomal RNA", at positions 875 to 1874 of the family's 2925-position model. Lineage: Bacteria; Pseudomonadati; Pseudomonadota; Gammaproteobacteria; Enterobacterales; Enterobacteriaceae. The record is from RNAcentral.